AAUAAAAGAUUGUAAAUAAAAUGUAUAUUUCAUUUCAGUAGCAUAUCACAUCAAAUACAAUACAUCAUCCACUGACUCCACACAUUAAGGUUCAACGCCUAAUAAAGACACAUCAAAAUAAUUUUACAUGUGCACAACAGAAUACUUCUGCAAGUGCAAGUGCACAGAAAAAGGUUCCAACAAAUGCACAAUCGCACAUAAAGAGAGUUCCACAAAGAUUGGAUGAGAACCACCAGUUUCUUCUCAUCCUCUUCCUCUG
RNAcentral lists this long non-coding RNA (259 nucleotides) under Hordeum vulgare. RNAcentral's name for it is "long non-coding RNA (HVUL_LNC014536)". The record is from RNAcentral. Lineage: Eukaryota; Viridiplantae; Streptophyta; Magnoliopsida; Poales; Poaceae.